Long non-coding RNA from Mauremys mutica (yellowpond turtle), 467 nucleotides. RefSeq lists it as uncharacterized. The record is from RefSeq and is a predicted model, not a curated record. The transcript is spliced from 3 exons. Lineage: Eukaryota; Metazoa; Chordata; Testudines; Geoemydidae.
CCAGUAGCCAAAAGGAAUAAUAAAUUCUGAUAUGCCCAUGAGUCAAUGAGAGCUGCUAUAGUCCGAUAGGCUGGAGGUGCCUGGCUGUCAAAAGACUGUGAACUCUUCAAGGCAGUGAGAGAGAGUCCCUAUGUACAUAUACAGUGCCUGGCACAAGGAGCCUCCUGGUGCUAUUAUUGGAAUACAAAUUGCAUGAACAUCGAGUCUCACUGCACUAAUUCAAGGAGCUUCUACUAAACUGAGGCUCCAGAGGAAGAUUGUCACAAAGAAACAAAAGUGUAACAGCAACAAAUGAGAUUUUAUAGGAGCAAAGUGUUCUAAUAUCAAGCAGAUCAAUUACCAUCAAGAAUUUAAUAAUACAGGUACAUCUUCUCCACGAUGAGUAUGGAGGUGCCAUAGAUGAAGAGCGCCCAGACACUGGUGACACCUGGGAACUUCCAGUUAAAGUUGACCACAAACUCCCAGGC